Molecule: transfer RNA, 73 nt
Filed under: Camelus bactrianus (Bactrian camel)
Lineage: Eukaryota; Metazoa; Chordata; Mammalia; Artiodactyla; Camelidae
Also listed under: 2 other names
Rfam family: tRNA
About the family: Transfer RNA (tRNA) molecules are approximately 80 nucleotides in length. Their secondary structure includes four short double-helical elements and three loops (D, anti-codon, and T loops). Further hydrogen bonds mediate the characteristic L-shaped molecular structure. tRNAs have two regions of fundamental functional importance: the anti-codon, which is responsible for specific mRNA codon recognition, and the 3' end, to which the tRNAs corresponding amino acid is attached (by aminoacyl-tRNA synthetases). tRNAs cope with the degeneracy of the genetic code in two manners: having more than one tRNA (with a specific anti-codon) for a particular amino acid; and 'wobble' base-pairing, i.e. permitting non-standard base-pairing at the 3rd anti-codon position.
Source: Rfam by way of RNAcentral
GAGGGUAUAGUUCAAGUGGUAGAGCACAUGCUUAGCAUACACAAGGUCCUGGGUUCAAUCCCCAGUACCUCCU